RNAcentral lists this microRNA precursor (87 nucleotides) under Pelobates cultripes (western spadefoot toad). The record is from RNAcentral. Lineage: Eukaryota; Metazoa; Chordata; Amphibia; Anura; Pelobatidae.
CUGGGAACAACCUGAACACUUUUGUUAAUAUUGAACUAUAUAAUGUUAUGAGUUCAAUAUUAACAAAAGUGUUCAGGUUGUUCCCAG